RNAcentral lists this ribosomal RNA (605 nucleotides) under Variovorax paradoxus. Its description in RNAcentral is "bacterial SSU rRNA". It matches the Rfam family "Bacterial small subunit ribosomal RNA", at positions 183 to 776 of the family's 1533-position model. The record is from RNAcentral. Lineage: Bacteria; Pseudomonadati; Pseudomonadota; Betaproteobacteria; Burkholderiales; Comamonadaceae.
UCUUCGGAUGAAAGCAGGGGAUCGCAAGACCUUGCGCGAAUUGAAGCGGCCGAUGGCAGAUCAGGUAGUUGGUGAGGUAAAGGCUCAUCAAGCCGUCGAUCUGUAGCUGGUCUGAGAGGACGAUCAGCCACACUGGGACUGAGACACGGCCCAGACUCCUACGGGAGGCAGCAGUGGGGAAUUUUGGACAAAUGGGCGAAAGCCUGAUCCAGCCAUGCCGCGUGCAGGAUGAAGGCCUUCGGGUUGUAAACUGCUUUUGUACGGAACGAAAACGGCCUUUUCUAAUAAAGAGGGCUAAUGACGGUACCGUAAGAAUAAGCACCGGCUAACUACGUGCCAGCAGCCGCGGUAAUACAUAGGGUGCAAGCGUUAAUCGGAAUUACUGGGCGUAAAGCGUGCGCAGGCGGUUAUGUAAGACAGUUGUGAAAUCCCCGGGCUCAACCUGGGAACUGCAUCUGUGACUGCAUAGCUAGAGUACGGUAGAGGGGGAUGGAAUUCCGCGUGUAGCAGUGAAAUGCGUAGAUAUGCGGAGGAACACCGAUGGCGAAGGCAAUCCCCUGGACCUGUACUGACGCUCAUGCACGAAAGCGUGGGGAGCAAACAGG